RNAcentral lists this ribosomal RNA (258 nucleotides) under uncultured bacterium. RNAcentral describes it as "partial 16S ribosomal RNA". It matches the Rfam family "Bacterial small subunit ribosomal RNA", at positions 96 to 354 of the family's 1533-position model. The record is from RNAcentral.
CGGCGGACGGGUGAGUAACGCGUGGGCAACCUGCCUUACACAGGGGGAUAACAGUUAGAAAUGACUGCUAAUACCGCAUAAGACCACGAAGCCGCAUGGCUAAGUGGUAAAAACUCCGGUGGUGUAAGAUGGGCCCGCGUCUGAUUAGGUAGUUGGCGGGGUAACGGCCCACCAAGCCGACGAUCAGUAGCCGACCUGAGAGGGUGACCGGCCACAUUGGGACUGAGACACGGCCCAGACUCCUACGGGAGGCAGCAG